RNAcentral lists this ribosomal RNA (253 nucleotides) under uncultured bacterium. RNAcentral's name for it is "partial 16S ribosomal RNA". It matches the Rfam family "Bacterial small subunit ribosomal RNA", at positions 524 to 776 of the family's 1533-position model. The record is from RNAcentral.
UACGUAGGGGGCUAGCGUUGCCCGGAAUCAUUGGGCGUAAAGAGCGUGUAGGCGGCCACUUAAGUCCUGCGUGAAAUCUUGCGGCUCAACCGCAAGCGGUCGUGGGAAACUGGGUGGCUAGAGUGCGGGGGAGGAGAGUGGAAUUCCUGGUGUAGCGGUGGAAUGCGCAGAUAUCAGGAAGAACACCCGUGGCGAAGGCGGCUCUCUGGAACGCAACUGACGCUGAGACGCGAAAGCGUGGGGAGCAAACAGG